Molecule: long non-coding RNA, 557 nt
Filed under: Astyanax mexicanus (Mexican tetra)
Lineage: Eukaryota; Metazoa; Chordata; Actinopteri; Characiformes; Acestrorhamphidae
Description: lncRNA (ENSAMXG00005017048.1)
Source: RNAcentral
CAAAAAAACUGAUUAAAAAAAGUUUGGAGAAGUCGUUCAAACCCGAUUAGCUACUUAGCUACAAUUUUUUGGAGCCUUGCUCACAUCAAUCACAGCCGCACCGGUUUCUUUGGACAAGUGUCUACUGGGUCCUAACGAUGGGGUGUAGCUCGAGUCGAGGAAUGGAGGUUGUGGAUGCUACCAAGCAGCCCAAAGACAGGCCCGGAUCAGCCAGCUCCAAGUCAUCAGACGAGGGAGAUGAAAAGAAUUUGAGGAAAGGAAAGCAAGAAAAAGCUAAAGGGAAAGAGAAAGAUGACAAGAACUGAUGAACCCCUCCAUCUUCAAUCCAUCUGCUCACGUUUCAGCAUAUUUUAAGUCUCCAGCUCGUUCUCCUCCCCUGUAGAAGAUUCCAGAUCCACUCUCCCGCUCUGAUCAUCUACUCUGAUACUCUACUCACAUAUUCAUCUGAAAUCACUCAACUGAUACCACCUAAUCAUACAACAGCACUUCAUGCCUCAUUAUCCAACUUUAAUCAUGUAUUUGUCAAAUAAUUAAAUGAACUAAAAUAAAUGAAGCUG